AGAGUUUGAUCCUGGCUCAGAUUGAACGCUGGCGGCAUGCCUUACACAUGCAAGUCGAACGGUAACGCGGGGCAACCUGGCGACGAGUGGCGAACGGGUGAGUAAUGUAUCGGAACGUGCCCAGUAGUGGGGGAUAGCCCGGCGAAAGCCGGAUUAAUACCGCAUACGACCUACGGGUGAAAGGGGGGGAUCGCAAGACCUCUCGCUAUUGGAGCGGCCGAUAUCAGAUUAGCUAGUUGGUGAGGUAAAGGCUCACCAAGGCGACGAUCCGUAGCGGGUCUGAGAGGAUGAUCCGCCACACUGGGACUGAGACACGGCCCAGACUCCUACGGGAGGCAGCAGUGGGGAAUUUUGGACAAUGGGCGCAAGCCUGAUCCAGCCAUGCCGCGUGAGUGAAGAAGGCCUUCGGGUUGUAAAGCUCUUUCGGUGGGGAAGAAAUUGCACAGGAUAAUACCUUGUGUAGAUGACGGUACCCGCAUAAGAAGCACCGGCUAACUACGUG
This 502-nucleotide ribosomal RNA is filed under the name uncultured bacterium. Its description in RNAcentral is "bacterial SSU rRNA". It matches the Rfam family "Bacterial small subunit ribosomal RNA", at positions 8 to 507 of the family's 1533-position model. The record is from RNAcentral.